This 433-nucleotide ribosomal RNA is filed under the name uncultured bacterium. RNAcentral's name for it is "partial 16S ribosomal RNA". It matches the Rfam family "Bacterial small subunit ribosomal RNA", at positions 29 to 507 of the family's 1533-position model. The record is from RNAcentral.
AACGAACGCUGGCGGCAUGCCUAACACAUGCAAGUCGAACGAGACCUCCGGAUCUAGUUGCGCUCGGGGGCGUAACGCGGGGGAAGCUGCACUUAGGUACGGAAUACUUCCCUGUAGGGGGUGCUAAUACAGGAUAAUGUCCUCUGAUAAAAGAUCUAUCGCCUUUGGAUGGGCCGGGGUUGGUUUAGCUAGUUGGUAGGGUAAAAGCCUAUCACGGCUUCGAUCCAUAGCUGGGCUGAGAGGAUGCGCAGCCACACUGGGACUCGGACACGGCCCGGACUCCUACGGGAGGGGGGAGUGGGGAAUAUUGGACAAUGGGCGGAAGCCUGAUCCAGCAAGGCCGCGUGAGUGAUGAAGGCGUUAGGGAUGUAAAGCUCUUUUACCCGGGAUGAUAAUGACGGUACCGGGAGAAUAAGCACCGGCUAACUCCGUG